AAAGUUGAAAAUCCACUGAUACUUCUCUCUCUCUCUUUUUAGAGAAAUAGGUAGUACGCUAUCUGCUUUAUUUAUUUCAUUUAGAAAUAAGUUUAACUGAAAAUAUGAAUCAACUAGAAUUCGAACUUGAAUCUCGAGUGCAAACCACCAAGCCUUUUGUCACUUGCUCUAGGGACGGUCGGUUUCUCUCCCUCUCUUAAGCUCUAACUAUUAUGAUUAACUAUUUGGUCCCUCAAAUAUAUAUUUCACUUAUAAACUUGAUUAAUAU
Molecule: long non-coding RNA, 268 nt
Filed under: Ananas comosus (pineapple)
Lineage: Eukaryota; Viridiplantae; Streptophyta; Magnoliopsida; Poales; Bromeliaceae
Description: long non-coding RNA (ACOM_LNC002819)
Source: RNAcentral